This 1350-nucleotide ribosomal RNA is filed under the name uncultured bacterium. Its description in RNAcentral is "partial 16S ribosomal RNA". It matches the Rfam family "Bacterial small subunit ribosomal RNA", at positions 56 to 1433 of the family's 1533-position model. The record is from RNAcentral.
UGCAAGUCUAAUGAAUUUUUCAUGGCGAACGGGUGAGUAAAACGUGAGAAUUUACACCUAGGCCAGGGAUAACAAAGGGAAACCUUUGGUAAUAUCUGAUACGCGCAAAAAAGUGCUUUAAAAAGUUAUUACUGCCUAGAAUCGAGCUCAUGGCUGAUUAGCUAGUUGGUGGAGUAAUAGCCUACCAAGGCGAGUAUCAGUAGCUGUCUUGAGAGGGAGGCCAGCCACAUUGGGAUUUAGAAACGGCCCAAACUCCUACGGGAGGCAGCAGUGGGGAAUCUUUUGCAAUGGGCGCAAGCCCGACAGAGCGACGCCAAGUGAAGGAUGACGGCCUUUUUGGUUGUAAACUUCUUUUACCUAAUUUAUUAAGACUGAGUAAAAGGUUAAAAAGUAUCGGCUAACUCCGUGCCAGCAGCCGCGGUAAUACGGGGGAUGCGAGCAUUUUCCGGAAUAACUGGGCGUAAAGCGUCUGUAGGUAGUUUAAUGUGUCCCCUGUAAAAGUAAGGGGCCUAACUCCUUGAAACGCAGGGGAAACUAUUAUACUAGAGUAUGAUAGAGGUAAAGGGAAUCCCUCGAGAAGUAGUGAAAUGCAUAGAUACGUGGGAGAAGGCCAAAGGCGAAGGCUUUUUACUGGGUCAUAACUAACAUUGAUAGACGAAAGCUAGGGUAGCGAAUGGGAUUAGAUACCCCAGUAGUCCUAGCCGUAAACUAUGGGUACUCGGUUCUGUACGUAAUUAUCGUUCAGUACCUUAGCUAACGCGUUAAGUAUCCCGCCUGAGGAGUACGCUCGCAAGAGUAAAACUCAAAGGAAUUGACGGGGGCUCGUACAAGCGGUGGAGCAUGUGGUUUAAUUCGAUGCAACGCGAAGAACCUUACCAGGAUUUGACAUGGUGUUAAGAUCUAGUUACUUAGUUUUUCCGAAACACACACAGGUGGUGCAUGGCUGUCGUCAGCUCGUGUCGUGAGAUGUUGGGUUAAGUCCCGUAACGAGCGCAACCCUCAUUCAAAGUUAAUUUACUUUUUGAAAACAGCCUACUUUUGUAUAAUAAGCUUAAAUACAGCAACUUUUAAAAGGAGGAGGGUGAGGACGACGUCAAGUCAUCAUGCUCCUUAUAUCCUGGGCCGCACACGUGCUACAAUGGGUGGAACAAAGAGAGUUUAAAAAGCCUUCUCUUGAGAGAAGGCUUAUCUCAAAAACUAUCCUUAAUUCGGAUCGUAAGCUGCAACUCGCUUGCGUGAAGCUGGAAUCGCUAGUAAUCGCUGGUCAGCCAAACGGCGGUGAAUUGUUUAUCGAGCCCUGUACACACCGCCCGUCACGCCAUGGAAGUUGGUCUGUCCAAAAACCACUGU